This 362-nucleotide long non-coding RNA is filed under the name Parus major (Great Tit). RNAcentral describes it as "lncRNA (ENSPMJG00000010607.1)". Lineage: Eukaryota; Metazoa; Chordata; Aves; Passeriformes; Paridae. The record is from RNAcentral.
GGACACAGAGCUCCUGCCAAGCCCCUUCCAACUGCUCUGCCUCCAUUUCCUUCCCAGGAUGGAGCCUACAGCUGGAUCCAGGUCUUUGCUCCUCUCGUUGGGAUCUACAAAGUCAUGGAAUCUUCACUGGUCACUUGAGGAGUCCCAAGACAAGAGGACAUGUCUUAGGAACAGAUGUCCAGCAAGAACAUGUUGGGAGGGACUGGAAAACAUUAAAGAUCCUGAGCUUUGACAUCUCCUUGUUGCACUGGAAUUGCCAGCACUGGACAAAGCCUGGUCUGCAGUGUGGGUCAAGGGUGGUGAGCAAAAAUGAGAGAAAAUUGAUUCAUUAAAAAUGUAGCUUUGGAAAGGGAGAUUCCUGC